AUUUGGGCUUGACAGGCGGAUAUGAGCAGCGAAAGAGUGAUCCGUUCCGAAGACGGAGAGACCUUGGCCAGGGGAACUGAAAUACCGGGCCGGGCAUCAGGCGGAUGAGCCCAGCUUCCAGAUCCGAGACUAUGUAGAGUCCCAGAAGAAGCGCUCCAGCUGCUGCUCCUUCAUGUGAAUCCCAGGGGGCAGAGAGGAGGCUCUGGAGGCACACAGGAUGCAGCCUUCCCCCUCCCAGGCCUGGCUUAUUCCAAGCAGCUGAGCCAAUGGGGAGAAAGAUGGAGGACUCACUGCACAGCCCCUUCCUAGCAAGGAGCUAUACUCCAACUCCUACUCGAGUUCCUGCGGUCUCCCCGCAUCCACAGGGAGGGUAAAACACUUAGCUUUUAUUUUAAUAGUACAUAAUUUAUACCAAACAAGGCACCUGGAUCCCCAAAAAACCGAGGCUGGGAGCUAGUGGCCCUUUUGCUUUCUAGGACUUGGGGGGCUGGCCCUCCCUCCUAAGCAUAACAAAGGUGGUGUUGCUCCAGCUCAGCCCCAGGGGACACAGAUGCACUUUG
RNAcentral lists this small RNA (560 nucleotides) under Pan troglodytes (chimpanzee). RNAcentral's name for it is "retained intron". The record is from RNAcentral. Lineage: Eukaryota; Metazoa; Chordata; Mammalia; Primates; Hominidae.